UAGCUAGUUUAACUGUAAUCUUUACCAAGCACAGCAAAUAAUGGUUAUCUGGUACAAUGCAUUGGUGGAGGUAGUGAGAUCUUAACGACUUCAGAGACAUUAAAUUUCAGACACGUAGUAUUUAUACUUUAUUUCAUUUUCCUAUGCUAAAGUAACAAGGCUUUCUUGGAAUUCUGUUCAGUUGUUUUGAUGGCAGUCUCACCUGCAUCUGGACACUUUGUUUUCAGUCAUAUAUUGUUAGGUUCUUUGUGUGGAGAAUACUCUGUUGAUUAAGAACAACAAGACCUUUCGUUUUAUGGGAGCAGGAAGAAAAGUUCUAAACCGAAACUCUUCAUUGCGUCUCUGCUCCAGAUUCCACAUAUGAGUGAUAUCGUAUGGUAUUUUUCUUCCUCUGCCUGCAGAUUGUCCCUGCUCUUGAGGGGCUUAAAGUCUGAUACGGGAGAGGGACAUUUCUGGGCAAGGCUACUGCAUGAGAAAACCAACACGUGUCUACUGGCAGAAUUGGAUUUCUGUGCUCAUCUCCACUUACUCUCUACCUAUGGAGUCUGACCAAGGCUCUUACCCUCUACAAAGGGUAAGAGCCUUUCCACUGAGGGGCCAUUGCCAACAACAUAAGUGACCCAGAAAGUGCUAGGCCCAGUGAACAGGAAAAGUGCAGUUUCGAGUACCAUCUGUGUGCCAAGGAGCAUGUGGAAGUCACUCCAGCCUCACAGUCCAAGAAUGGUGGGGCCACGCCAGCUGCCCAUUUUGUGUUCCACGGCGAAGAAUAUGAGUAUCGUAAGCAAAUGGAAUGUCCCAAUUUGAGUGCCAGGAGCAGGGGCAGGAUGAAGCCAUGACUCUGGGGAGAGAGAAGCAGAGAGGAAGACGGGAGGGUGAUGGGAUGAGGGUAUCUUCUCUCUUCGGGUUGCCCCUGGGAGGCAGACUUUCACAAGCUAAGAGCUGAAAAGAAUCAUCAAGCUGCAGUUUGCCUGGUCUGCUGGACUUUCCGGUUUCUUCCUGAUUGCCUUUGAAUUCUUUCUGAUUCUGGACCGAGCCUGUGUGCCUUUCCAAUCUUUGUGGGGCAUAAAAGCGCUAUUGUACAUACCCAUGGAAAUAAACAGAGGCAAUACCUGAAUCUUG
Long non-coding RNA from Camelus dromedarius (Arabian camel), 1119 nucleotides. RefSeq lists it as uncharacterized. Lineage: Eukaryota; Metazoa; Chordata; Mammalia; Artiodactyla; Camelidae. The transcript has 5 exons. The record is from RefSeq and is a predicted model, not a curated record.